RNAcentral lists this unclassified non-coding RNA (166 nucleotides) under soil metagenome. RNAcentral describes it as "partial contains 5.8S ribosomal RNA, internal transcribed spacer 2, and large subunit ribosomal RNA". The record is from RNAcentral.
AACGCACGAGACCUGCGGACCUGCGGAAGGAUCAUUAGUGAACGCCCUCACGGGCUUAUAACUAUUCCAAACCUCUGUGAACCGUGCCCUUCGGGGCUAUUUUACAAACAUGGUGUAAUGAACGUCGUAUAUCAUAACAAAACAAAACUUUCAACAAUGGAUCUCU